Molecule: unclassified non-coding RNA, 338 nt
Filed under: Hevea brasiliensis (rubber tree)
Lineage: Eukaryota; Viridiplantae; Streptophyta; Magnoliopsida; Malpighiales; Euphorbiaceae
Source: RNAcentral
CGAAAAGGUUAUGCACAAUCAAGUCGUUCACUGGCGACGCGCAUGCGAAAGCUUCAGGUGUCUUAUUCUUAUUCUAUAAAUAAAAGCCAGUUGGCCAAGUGUCUUUUAUUGCUUAUCGUUCCUUUGGAGUACUGUGAACUUCUGCCUCUGUGGGAUGGCCAAGUGGAAUGGUGGAUGCAGGUACGUGUGUAUUAUUUACUGGCAGGCAUUAACAUUUUAACAUCUGUUCCAGAAAAUGCUUAGUUGAAUGCAAUUAUUAGAAAUUUAAUAAUUACGUAUAUUUCAUAGCCCUCCAUUUUCUUUCUUCAAAAUCAUUUAUAUUGUUCUUUAAGUUGGGG